GACCGUCCGGCAGGCUUCGAGUGCUGGCGCACAGUGAGAGCAAAGGAAACUUCCCUUUCCCCGAACUCUCUCCCAGUGACUAGGAAGGGUGCUCACUGCCCCGGGCAAACAAGGGAGGCAACCCGGAGCGCCAUUUGAACACGCCCCAUUCCCACGAGGGCGGAGGUGGAGAGACGGCCGCUCGCAGUACGGAGGCUGGCUGGGGGAGGGCUCUGUUCGGAGUUGUCCGCUCUCUCCGCGCCUCUUCACGGGUCCGGGAUCAGCGCGGGAGGGGAUCUGGACUUAAAGGAAUCUUUCUACUCCAAGCUACUCUCCGCCCCGCUGGCCUCCAGGCGUUCUGCCCUGCGAGGGCAGCGGGCGGGGGCGGCCACUGUCCCGACACCCACCCGCUUCCAGAGUCUUUGGUGACUGUAGCCGCUGCGGGAGAAUGAGCCCAAAGGAGCAGACGGAAGCCGGCGGGACUGCCAGGGCUCCCUCUCACGGGUCCCCCCUCGAGUCCUUUCUCUUCGCGCGGGGUCUUCCCUUCCUCCAACUGGGAGACUCUGAGUCGGAAGGAAGCCUAGACUCCUCCCAGAAAAAUGCAUUCUCAAUGCAUCCGGAGCAUCCAUCUACCGGAUGCUCCAAAACCUUCUGCGCAUCGCUGGCCCCUCCGGAGCACCCAGUGGGCCCUCACCCCACCCGGGAAGGGGUGGCUUUCGGUGCGGACCCUCUCGCCCUCUUGCGCCCCACCUGGGCCGGCGGCCUCACCCUGCAGCUCGCCCGGGAAGGGCUAGGCGGUGCUAACCGGGCGGAGAGCCGUUUAUUGAUGUACACUGAGAAAAGGCUGCCCGGGGUCCGCACCUCUGCGUCCGCCUCUGGGGUGCAUCUUGCUCCCGGAGUCCAGCCCCAGGGGAGGUCGGAGCAGGAGAGGUUGCUGGAGGGGCGUGAACUCCGAGCCGGAGAGUUAGGUGCAUCAAACGUCAGGUGGCGUCAGGCUCAGUCCGUUGACCCUUCUCAGUGUAACCAGAUUCUCCCAUGAGCCCAAGAGCGCCCUUACCUAGACCCGCGCCCCCCCCCUUUUUUAUAACGCGCCGCACCUAAGAUUUGUUAACAUUUCGUCUAGUUGUUUUUGUCCUCGAAAUCUCCGCACUCUUCCACUGUGAACUGAUUUCACAGGCUCCCCGGCAGAGGGCACCCUUACUCCGAGUUCUCCAGCGCUCCAGGGCCUUAACUGGCAAGGUGGGACUUCCGCAGCUUCCCUGUUUACAGCCAUUUCCUGGCGAUGGUGCUCUUUCCUCCUCCUCUCAAACAGCAGGCGUUCUCUAGCAGAUCUCUAGGUAGAUCUGGUCUCUCCCUCAUCAGCGGUGAGGCUUAGGGGGUCCCUGCCCGUAUUUUCUCUAGCAGAACCACUUUGAGCUGUCUUUUUAUUUUUUUCCCCUGGGAACUAUUUACAUGUUAAGGAGCCACAGAACCUCCAACCUAAGCAAAGCAGCCCAGAGAAGCAGAGUGUGCGGGUGUGCAUUGGAGCGUGUGGAGAGAGAGGGGAAGGGUGAUGGCUGGGUAGUUUCUGAAACAGGCUGAGAGAAGGCUUUCUCUGUUUUCUGAAGUCACCUCAGAUUCCAGUUAAUUUAGCAGAUGAAAGCACCUACUCUGUGCCAGGCACUCCAUUGCACACCGUGUUAGUGAAACAAGCUGUGGGUUUGACGCUGUAAGAUCAGCUGGAAUUCUGGCUCUCUCCCGAUGAAUUUCCUCUUGUUCAUAGCACUUAACCACUAGGCAACCACACUCUUGUAUAAAAUCAUUUUUUCCAUUUAACAUAUAUAUUUAUAAAGUGCUUGGUUCCCUUACCAAGCUUGUAGUAAGACAAACAAUAAGUAAGAGUAAUUUAAUCAUCUGUUGAGAGGGGGCUUAUUGUAUAGAGAUUUGCAGCCAUUUUAUGGACUUUGGCCUUAAUGUAAAAGAAGUGGGGAGCCAUUCAUGAGUUCGGAGCAGCCAACAGACCUGCUCAGGCACCGCCCUGGCUGCUGUGUGGAGCGCAGACCGAGGAGCCCAUUGGGCAGAACGGAGGUCCAGGAAGUGAUCCAGGAGAGAGAGGCUGCUGCCAGGCCAGGGGGCACUGCUGCAGGUGGAGAGGAGUGGUCAGAUUCUGGAUAUGCUUUUCAAAGGAGAAUAAAAGAAGAUUCAGUUGUGGGGUGUAAGAGAAAGAGAGGCAUGGAAAAAGACUCUAAGCUGCUGAAAGAAUAGUUGCUGCUGAAGGAAACUGGGAGACUGUGAAGAGGCUUUUCUAAUACAAACCUCAGGUCCAAAGAGGCUUUGUUUUGGACUUGAGGUUGGUAUUAGAAAAACUAGGAGAAAGGUGGGCUGCAGGCAGGUGUGAGGCGGUCCGGAUACAUACAGGCCGUGCCUGGGGCCACAACGCACUCAUCACGCCUCUUCCCUCUGCUCAGCUAGAACUCCCAUGAUCCUCUCUCGUUCAUGGUUCUAUUCACAGUACCUGUUCAGAGAACAUGUUACAAUGAACCUACCUUCUCUGACUCUCCUCAUAACAUGUAAAUGAGUAUCAACAUGACACCUAUUAGUUUAUUGCCAGGAAAAGUUAAAUGAGAUGACAAAAGUGAAAAUGGCUUAGAAGUAAUAGACACUCAGGGUAUUUGAAAACUGUAGGUUUGAUUAUUUCAUUUUCUACUGUUUUAACUCAAGUUGAUAGGAACUUCAUAUUUUAUAUAACAAUGAUAACUUCAUAAACAAUUCCUCGUGCAUGCAGGGCAAAUGGCAUUCCCAUUUUGUGGAGGAGGGAAGUAGGCUCGCUGAGGUAAAACAACUUCCCGGAGGGGCCCGUCUAACAGUAGAAUAGUGGCUAACAUAUCUGAGCAUGCGUGUGUCAGGCACUGUGCUGAUGAUUCUGCCUGUAUCUUGCAACACUCCAAGGUGGGUAUUAUUAUCCUCAUUUGCAAAACAGAGAAGCACAGAGAGGACGAUGAACUUAGUCAAGGUCCCCAGUGAGUGGGUCGCAGAGGCCGGGUCGAGAGGCAGACAUGCUGAUCCUGACUCGAAUGUUCUUUUCCAAGCCUGGUAGCACCUCUUUCUCAUUCACAUCCUAGACUGCUGCUGCCAGGACUGGGUCUCACCAAAGGCGAAGUAAGUGGCUGCCUCCUUGCUUUGAAGUUGGCAGAAUUCUUUCUCACGCUUUUCUCCGACCAGGCCUGCUUCAGGAUCUGAAAGUGCAGUCACUUGAGAAGCUGCAGAGCAAGCUUGAUCAAAGCGUUUGAUGCAUUACUCCCUCUCAGUGGAAUGUCCAUUCCCCUCUUUACAUGAUGAAUAGCUCUUCCGCGUUCUCCCAAAUUCUUGUGAACUACAAUGUGUUUUUCUAAAUCCAGCCCUUAUAUCCCUUCUACCGUGAAGUGACCUUCCCUGCUUGCACCUGAGUUUGUCCCGGCUUAGCUCACAUGACACUCUGUUCAUACCUCUGUGGUAGCAAGUGUCACAACAACAGUUCCCUGCGGAUCUGACAGAUGCCACUGUAAGACUGUGAUUUCCUCUAGGCAAGUGUCUUCUUCUCAUGUGUUUGAAUUCAACAUGGUGUUUGCUUCAUGAAUACAUAGCUUUUGUUUCAGAAACUACAGAUAAGGCCCAUCCUGGCUCCUGGGAAAACAGCCGACCUCCUGGGGCAAUGCCAGAGAUGACCGCCUGGGGACAACUGGAGGCUUCCAGGCCUUUGUGUUCCAGGGAGAGACAGACAGACGA
Molecule: long non-coding RNA, 3723 nt
Organism: Artibeus jamaicensis (Jamaican fruit-eating bat)
Lineage: Eukaryota; Metazoa; Chordata; Mammalia; Chiroptera; Phyllostomidae
Exons: 3
Source: RefSeq, a predicted model, not a curated record